Molecule: ribosomal RNA, 2902 nt
Filed under: Escherichia coli
Lineage: Bacteria; Pseudomonadati; Pseudomonadota; Gammaproteobacteria; Enterobacterales; Enterobacteriaceae
Description: bacterial LSU rRNA
Rfam family: Bacterial large subunit ribosomal RNA
Source: RNAcentral
UUAAGCGACUAAGCGUACACGGUGGAUGCCCUGGCAGUCAGAGGCGAUGAAGGACGUGCUAAUCUGCGAUAAGCGUCGGUAAGGUGAUAUGAACCGUUAUAACCGGCGAUUUCCGAAUGGGGAAACCCAGUGUGUUUCGACACACUAUCAUUAACUGAAUCCAUAGGUUAAUGAGGCGAACCGGGGGAACUGAAACAUCUAAGUACCCCGAGGAAAAGAAAUCAACCGAGAUUCCCCCAGUAGCGGCGAGCGAACGGGGAGCAGCCCAGAGCCUGAAUCAGUGUGUGUGUUAGUGGAAGCGUCUGGAAAGGCGCGCGAUACAGGGUGACAGCCCCGUACACAAAAAUGCACAUGCUGUGAGCUCGAUGAGUAGGGCGGGACACGUGGUAUCCUGUCUGAAUAUGGGGGGACCAUCCUCCAAGGCUAAAUACUCCUGACUGACCGAUAGUGAACCAGUACCGUGAGGGAAAGGCGAAAAGAACCCCGGCGAGGGGAGUGAAAAAGAACCUGAAACCGUGUACGUACAAGCAGUGGGAGCACGCUUAGGCGUGUGACUGCGUACCUUUUGUAUAAUGGGUCAGCGACUUAUAUUCUGUAGCAAGGUUAACCGAAUAGGGGAGCCGAAGGGAAACCGAGUCUUAACUGGGCGUUAAGUUGCAGGGUAUAGACCCGAAACCCGGUGAUCUAGCCAUGGGCAGGUUGAAGGUUGGGUAACACUAACUGGAGGACCGAACCGACUAAUGUUGAAAAAUUAGCGGAUGACUUGUGGCUGGGGGUGAAAGGCCAAUCAAACCGGGAGAUAGCUGGUUCUCCCCGAAAGCUAUUUAGGUAGCGCCUCGUGAAUUCAUCUCCGGGGGUAGAGCACUGUUUCGGCAAGGGGGUCAUCCCGACUUACCAACCCGAUGCAAACUGCGAAUACCGGAGAAUGUUAUCACGGGAGACACACGGCGGGUGCUAACGUCCGUCGUGAAGAGGGAAACAACCCAGACCGCCAGCUAAGGUCCCAAAGUCAUGGUUAAGUGGGAAACGAUGUGGGAAGGCCCAGACAGCCAGGAUGUUGGCUUAGAAGCAGCCAUCAUUUAAAGAAAGCGUAAUAGCUCACUGGUCGAGUCGGCCUGCGCGGAAGAUGUAACGGGGCUAAACCAUGCACCGAAGCUGCGGCAGCGACGCUUAUGCGUUGUUGGGUAGGGGAGCGUUCUGUAAGCCUGUGAAGGUGUGCUGUGAGGCAUGCUGGAGGUAUCAGAAGUGCGAAUGCUGACAUAAGUAACGAUAAAGCGGGUGAAAAGCCCGCUCGCCGGAAGACCAAGGGUUCCUGUCCAACGUUAAUCGGGGCAGGGUGAGUCGACCCCUAAGGCGAGGCCGAAAGGCGUAGUCGAUGGGAAACAGGUUAAUAUUCCUGUACUUGGUGUUACUGCGAAGGGGGGACGGAGAAGGCUAUGUUGGCCGGGCGACGGUUGUCCCGGUUUAAGCGUGUAGGCUGGUUUUCCAGGCAAAUCCGGAAAAUCAAGGCUGAGGCGUGAUGACGAGGCACUACGGUGCUGAAGCAACAAAUGCCCUGCUUCCAGGAAAAGCCUCUAAGCAUCAGGUAACAUCAAAUCGUACCCCAAACCGACACAGGUGGUCAGGUAGAGAAUACCAAGGCGCUUGAGAGAACUCGGGUGAAGGAACUAGGCAAAAUGGUGCCGUAACUUCGGGAGAAGGCACGCUGAUAUGUAGGUGAAGUCCCUCGCGGAUGGAGCUGAAAUCAGUCGAAGAUACCAGCUGGCUGCAACUGUUUAUUAAAAACACAGCACUGUGCAAACACGAAAGUGGACGUAUACGGUGUGACGCCUGCCCGGUGCCGGAAGGUUAAUUGAUGGGGUCAGCGCAAGCGAAGCUCUUGAUCGAAGCCCCGGUAAACGGCGGCCGUAACUAUAACGGUCCUAAGGUAGCGAAAUUCCUUGUCGGGUAAGUUCCGACCUGCACGAAUGGCGUAAUGAUGGCCAGGCUGUCUCCACCCGAGACUCAGUGAAAUUGAACUCGCUGUGAAGAUGCAGUGUACCCGCGGCAAGACGGAAAGACCCCGUGAACCUUUACUAUAGCUUGACACUGAACAUUGAGCCUUGAUGUGUAGGAUAGGUGGGAGGCUUUGAAGUGUGGACGCCAGUCUGCAUGGAGCCGACCUUGAAAUACCACCCUUUAAUGUUUGAUGUUCUAACGUUGACCCGUGAUCCGGGUUGCGGACAGUGUCUGGUGGGUAGUUUGACUGGGGCGGUCUCCUCCUAAAGAGUAACGGAGGAGCACGAAGGUUGGCUAAUCCUGGUCGGACAUCAGGAGGUUAGUGCAAUGGCAUAAGCCAGCUUGACUGCGAGCGUGACGGCGCGAGCAGGUGCGAAAGCAGGUCAUAGUGAUCCGGUGGUUCUGAAUGGAAGGGCCAUCGCUCAACGGAUAAAAGGUACUCCGGGGAUAACAGGCUGAUACCGCCCAAGAGUUCAUAUCGACGGCGGUGUUUGGCACCUCGAUGUCGGCUCAUCACAUCCUGGGGCUGAAGUAGGUCCCAAGGGUAUGGCUGUUCGCCAUUUAAAGUGGUACGCGAGCUGGGUUUAGAACGUCGUGAGACAGUUCGGUCCCUAUCUGCCGUGGGCGCUGGAGAACUGAGGGGGGCUGCUCCUAGUACGAGAGGACCGGAGUGGACGCAUCACUGGUGUUCGGGUUGUCAUGCCAAUGGCACUGCCCGGUAGCUAAAUGCGGAAGAGAUAAGUGCUGAAAGCAUCUAAGCACGAAACUUGCCCCGAGAUGAGUUCUCCCUGACUCCUUGAGAGUCCUGAAGGAACGUUGAAGACGACGACGUUGAUAGGCCGGAUGUGUAAGCGCAGCGAUGCGUUGAGCUAACCGGUACUAAUGAACCGUGAGGCUUAACCUU